CAGUAGCCGCGGGAAUACGUAGGUCCCGAGCGUUGUCCGGAUUUAUUGGGCGUAAAGCGAGCGCAGGCGGUUAGAUAAGUCUGAAGUUAAAGGCUGUGGCUUAACCAUAGUACGCUUUGGAAACUGUUUAACUUGAGUGCAGAAGGGGAGAGUGGAAUUACAUGUGUAGCGGUGAAAUGCGUAGAUAUAUGGAGGAACACCGGUGGCGAAAGCGGCACUCUGGUCUGUAACUGACGCUGAGGCUCGAAAGCGUGGGGAGCAAACAGGAUUAGAUACCCCAGUAGUCCCUGUCUCUUAUACA
RNAcentral lists this ribosomal RNA (301 nucleotides) under uncultured bacterium. Its description in RNAcentral is "partial 16S ribosomal RNA". It matches the Rfam family "Bacterial small subunit ribosomal RNA", at positions 509 to 808 of the family's 1533-position model. The record is from RNAcentral.